GGGCCUAUAGCUCAGUUGGUAGAGCCCCCGGCUCAUAACCGGUCGGUCGUAGGUUCGAAUCCUGCUGGGCCCACCA
Molecule: transfer RNA, 76 nt
Filed under: Nitrospina sp.
Lineage: Bacteria; Pseudomonadati; Nitrospinota; Nitrospinia; Nitrospinales; Nitrospinaceae
Also listed under: 1 other name
Description: tRNA-Ile
Rfam family: tRNA
About the family: Transfer RNA (tRNA) molecules are approximately 80 nucleotides in length.
Source: RNAcentral